Molecule: ribosomal RNA, 762 nt
Filed under: uncultured bacterium
Lineage: Bacteria
Description: bacterial SSU rRNA
Rfam family: Bacterial small subunit ribosomal RNA
Source: RNAcentral
GCUGCUUACCAUGCAGUCGAACGGCAGCGCGGACUUCGGUCUGGCGGCGAGUGGCGAACGGGUGAGUAAUGCAUCGGAACGUACCUUUCAGUGGGGGAUAACGUAACGAAAGUUACGCUAAUACCGCAUAUUCUGUGAGCAGGAAAGCAGGGGAUCGCAAGACCUUGCGCUGAUGGAGCGGCCGAUGUCAGAUUAGCUAGUUGGUGGGGUAACGGCUCACCAAGGCGACGAUCUGUAGCGGGUCUUAGAGGAUGAUCCGCCACACUGGAACUGAGACACGGUCCAGACUCCUACGGGAGGCAGCAGUGGGGAAUUUUGGACAAUGGGCGCAAGCCUGAUCCAGCCAUGCCGCGUGAGUGAAGAAGGCCUUCGGGUUGUAAAGCUCUUUCGGCCGGGAAAAAAUCGCUUGGGUUAAUACCCUGAGUGGAUGAUGGUACCGGAAUAAGAAGCACCGGCUAACUACGUGCCAGCAGCCGCGGUAAUACGUAGGGUGCGAGCGUUAAUCGGAAUUACUGGGCGUAAAGCGUGCGCAGGCGGUUUUGUAAGACAGGCGUGAAAUCCCCGGGCUCAACCUGGGAACUGCGUUUGUGACUGCAAGGCUAGAGUAUGGCAGAGGGGGGUGGAAUUCCACGUGUAGCAGUGAAAUGCGUAGAGAUGUGGAGGAACACCAAUGGCGAAGGCAGCCCCCUGGGCCAAUACUGACGCUCAUGCACGAAAGCGUGAGGAGCAAACAGGAUUAGAUACCCUGGUAGUCCACGCCCU